This is a long non-coding RNA of Phyllostomus discolor (pale spear-nosed bat), 292 nucleotides long. RefSeq lists it as uncharacterized. NCBI's taxonomy places the organism in Eukaryota, Metazoa, Chordata, Mammalia, Chiroptera, Phyllostomidae. The record is from RefSeq and is a predicted model, not a curated record. The transcript is spliced from 2 exons.
CUCAGGAAAGAAUGCAGACUACUCAUCAUGGAGUUUGGGCUCAGCUGGGUUUUACUUAUUGCAAUUUUAAAAGGUGUCCAGAGUGAGGUGCAGCUGGUGAAGUCUGGUGGAGGCUUGGUGAAGCCUGGGGGGUCCCUGAGACUCUCCUAUGCAGCCUCUGGAUUCACUGUCAGUAGCUAUGAUAUGAACUGGGUCCGCCAGGUUCCAGGGAAGGGCCUGGAGUGGGUCUCAUACAUUAGUAGUGGUGGUACAACAUACUAUGCCAGCUCUGUGAAGGGCUGACUGACCAUUU